GAUGAACGCUGGCGGCGUGCCUAAUACAUGCAAGUCGAGCGAACGGACGAGAAGCUUGCUUCUCUGAUGUUAGCGGCGGACGGGUGAGUAACACGUGGAUAACCUACCUAUAAGACUGGGAUAACUUCGGGAAACCGUAGCUAAUACCGGAUAAUAUUUUGAACCGCAUGGUUCAAAAGUGAAAGACGGUCUUGCUGUCACUUAUAGAUGGAUCCGCGCUGCAUUAGCUAGUUGGUAAGGUAACGGCUUACCAAGGCAACGAUGCAUAGCCGACCUGAGAGGGUGAUCGGCCACACUGGAACUGAGACACGGUCCAGACUCCUACGGGAGGCAGCAGUAGGGAAUCUUCCGCAAUGGGCGAAAGCCUGACGGAGCAACGCCGCGUGAGUGAUGAAGGUCUUCGGAUCGUAAAAAUCUGUUAUUAGGGAAGAACAUAUGUGUAAGUAACUGUGCACAUCUUGACGGUACCUAAUCAGAAAGCCACGGCUAACUACGUG
This 497-nucleotide ribosomal RNA is filed under the name uncultured bacterium. RNAcentral's name for it is "partial 16S ribosomal RNA". It matches the Rfam family "Bacterial small subunit ribosomal RNA", at positions 28 to 507 of the family's 1533-position model. The record is from RNAcentral.